UUCCUACGGGAGGCAGCAGUAGGGAAUAUUGGACAAUGGGGGAAACCCUGAUCCAGCAAUGCCGCGUGAGUGAUGAAGGCCUUAGGGUUGUAAAGCUCUUUCGUCCACGACGAUGAUGACGGUAGUGGAAGAAGAAGCCCCGGCUAACUUCGUGCCAGCAGCCGCGGUAAUACGAAGGGGGCUAGCGUUGUUCGGAAUUACUGGGCGUAAAGCGCACGCAGGCGGCGCAUUAAGUCAGGGGUGAAAGGCCUGGGCUCAACCCAGGAACUGCCUUUGAGACUGAUGCGCUGGAGUACGGAAGAGGGUAGUGGAAUUCCCAGUGUAGAGGUGAAAUUCGUAGAUAUUGGGAAGAACACC
RNAcentral lists this ribosomal RNA (357 nucleotides) under uncultured Acetobacteraceae bacterium. RNAcentral describes it as "bacterial SSU rRNA". It matches the Rfam family "Bacterial small subunit ribosomal RNA", at positions 336 to 710 of the family's 1533-position model. Lineage: Bacteria; Pseudomonadati; Pseudomonadota; Alphaproteobacteria; Acetobacterales; Acetobacteraceae. The record is from RNAcentral.